This 339-nucleotide ribosomal RNA is filed under the name Triticum aestivum (bread wheat). Its description in RNAcentral is "partial small subunit ribosomal RNA". Lineage: Eukaryota; Viridiplantae; Streptophyta; Magnoliopsida; Poales; Poaceae. The record is from RNAcentral.
AUGCCGAUGGGGUCCAACGAGGCGGACAAGCCGCUGCGGCGGAUUGGCGCGUCGUUUGAGCAGCUCGCGGUCGUCUCCAAGCAGCAGCAGCCCGCGAUGGCGGCGGGGGACUUCUCGCGCGCCUGCUCCAACGUCUCCGUCCUAUUCUGCUGCCUCGGCAUCGCCUUCAAGUUUGCGGAGAUGGACUACGUAGCCAAGGUCGCGGCGACCACCAAGAAGACACCCAACUCCCGCACCCCGAACUACCCUACCCGAGCCUGCCAUUGCAGCUGCUGUGUCAAGUCCACAACAUCACCAUGCAUGCUGACAAGGACAAUGACGAGGUCUACGCACAGAUGA